RNAcentral lists this RNase P RNA (376 nucleotides) under Deltaproteobacteria bacterium SG8_13. Its description in RNAcentral is "bacterial RNase P". It matches the Rfam family "Bacterial RNase P class A". From Rfam's summary of the family: Ribonuclease P (RNase P) is a ubiquitous endoribonuclease, found in archaea, bacteria and eukarya as well as chloroplasts and mitochondria. Lineage: Bacteria; Deltaproteobacteria. The record is from RNAcentral.
GGAGCAGUCCAAGCGAUCGCCGGCCGGUUCCUCCGGCCGGAGGAAAGUCCGAACACCGCAGGGCAGGGUGCUCCAUAACGUGGAGUCGCGGCGACGCGAAGGAAAGUGCAACAGAAAGCAGACCGCCCCGCAGCCAUGCGGGGUAAGGGUGAAACGGUGCGGUAAGAGCGCACCAGUUCUUCGGGUGACCGGAGAAGCUAGGUAAACCCCACCCGGUGCAAGACCAAAUAGGGGGGCGCUAGAGGGCGGCCCGUCCGAGCCCCCGGGUAGGUCGCAAGAGGUGCCGGGCAACCGGCGCCCUGAGAUGAAUGAUCGUUGCCCGCUGCCGGGUAACCGGCCGCGGGUCACAGAAUUCGGCUUACGGACUGCUUCGGCC